AGUGAACGCUGGCGGUAGGCCUAACACAUGCAAGUCGAACGGCAGCACAGUAAGAGCUUGCUCUUACGGGUGGCGAGUGGCGGACGGGUGAGGAAUACAUCGGAAUCUACUUUUUCGUGGGGGAUAACGUAGGGAAACUUACGCUAAUACCGCAUACGACCUACGGGUGAAAGCAGGGGAUCUUCGGACCUUGCGCGAUUGAAUGAGCCGAUGUCGGAUUAGCUAGUUGGCGGGGUAAAGGCCCACCAAGGCGACGAUCCGUAGCUGGUCUGAGAGGAUGAUCAGCCACACUGGAGCUGAGACACGGUCCAGACUCCUACGGGAGGCAGCAGUGGGGAAUAUUGGACCAUGGGCGCAAGCCUGAUCCAGCCAUACCGCGUGGGUGAAGAAGGCCUUCGGGUUGUAAAGCCCUUUUGUUGGGAAAGAAAAGCAGCAGGUUAAUACCCCGCUGUUCUGACGGUACCCAAAGAAUAAGCACCGGCUAACUUCGUG
Molecule: ribosomal RNA, 492 nt
Filed under: uncultured bacterium
Lineage: Bacteria
Description: partial 16S ribosomal RNA
Rfam family: Bacterial small subunit ribosomal RNA
Source: RNAcentral